UUAGAAAGAAGGGGUUCGAACCCUACCUGGGGAGAUCAAAACUCCCAGUGCUCCCACUACACCACUUCCUA
This 71-nucleotide transfer RNA is filed under the name Genicanthus lamarck (blackstriped angelfish). RNAcentral describes it as "tRNA-Met". Lineage: Eukaryota; Metazoa; Chordata; Actinopteri; Pomacanthidae. The record is from RNAcentral.